UACGGAGGGUGCAAGCGUUAAUCGGAAUUACUGGGCGUAAAGCGAGUGUAGGCGGCUACGUAAGUCGGAUGUGAAAGCCCUGGGCUUAACCUAGGAAUGGCAUUCGAUACUGCGUGGCUAGAGUCUGAUAGAGGGAAGUGGAAUUCCAGGUGUAGCGGUGAAAUGCGUAGAUAUCUGGAGGAACAUCAGUGGCGAAGGCGGCUUCCUGGAUCAAGACUGACGCUCAGGCUCGAAAGCGUGGGUAGCAAACAGG
This 253-nucleotide ribosomal RNA is filed under the name uncultured bacterium. Its description in RNAcentral is "partial 16S ribosomal RNA". It matches the Rfam family "Bacterial small subunit ribosomal RNA", at positions 524 to 776 of the family's 1533-position model. The record is from RNAcentral.